Molecule: long non-coding RNA, 2935 nt
Organism: Nylanderia fulva
Lineage: Eukaryota; Metazoa; Arthropoda; Insecta; Hymenoptera; Formicidae
Source: RefSeq, a predicted model, not a curated record
UGGAACCAGUUAUGUGUACUUUAUGUCCGCGUACUUAAACAGGCCGCACACACGCGUAGGCGUUGUCGACGCAAUCAAAAGUCGUUGUCAUCGUCGUCGUCGUCGUCGUCGUCGAGUCGCGACAUUCGCUCAUGCAUGGGAAACCGACGCGACAUGAUUUAUGACAUGACGUGAAUUUCAGUUCGCGCACGCGACCUCAUCAUCUCUGUCUCGGGUGUCCAUGCGCAGAAGAGAACGGUCUGUCCUCCAGUGCAUAACCGACCAUUAAACGACCAUCGGCUAUCGAAUUCGAUAGCCCGGUUUAAGUAGCCCGAUCGAUGCCGCGAGCGAGACUUUUUGCGUUUCUGAACGGCGAGUUCUCUCUCUCUCGCUCCCUCUCAAAGGGGUGAGUGGCCGCGGCUGCAUCUGAAGCGCGUGAAUCUGCGCGAACCUGUCCUGCCUGAAAUUUAUUAGCCACAUUUGUCCGAUACGACAGGGCUGAACGAAAAAAAAUCAUUUGUUGAGUUGCGCGAUUAAUUUCAAGCACAUCUCGCGACUCGGCUAUUCGAUAAUAAUCAAACAAUUUUGUUAUUUCAGUGUUGGGCAAAUUAUUAAAAUGCAUAAUGUUAAGAGUUUUUAAUUUUGCUCAAAUUCUUAAGACAAAAAAUAAAGUUUCAAAUAGAUCGUGUUGAUCUCUAUCCUGCAGCGUAUCUUUGUUGCAUAUAUGUAUUUAUAUAUGUUUUUAGGAAAUUUGUUGCAAAUCUGACAUGGAUAAGAUCUCGAUAAUACAAUUGGAGAAAUGACAAGAGAUUCGGAAGAAUCGAAAUAAAAUGACGGAAAUGUGGAGAUCUUUCUGCACACGUAAGAACUCGAUUGAAAUCGUUAUAUUCGUGUCGUAGACUCUUCCGCCGGUUUCCUGUUAUUCGUCGCUACCAGCGGUUCCGGAGACCUCGUUUAUGCGAACCCUUCGAUGCCCGUGGUAGUAAAGUGAGUCAUGACCGUGAAUCAUCGAAAUGGCUCCGUGUUCGCAACGACCCUCGGCUGACCGCGAAAUAUGAGAAGGAACAUUUUCUGCAGACUCAAAGAACGAGAUCAUGAACGGCCAUGGAUAACGGCAAUGUCACAAAGAUUGGAAAAAGAUGAUGUCGUCUGCGCGCAGUGAAAAAUAUAUCCGAAAGUCAACUCUCUUCUUUCGUAAGUAAUAGAUCACAAAAACACCCUGAAAUCGUAUCGGGCUCGAAAAUAUACGGACUGCUUGCGAGCUUAUGCUGCCCAAAGGCGCUGUCGUGAAAGCAAACAACGGAUGAAAAAUAUAGUCCUUGGCGCCUGUACAAUGGCAAUAUUUAUAAAUGCAUCGUGAGUUUUUCGACCUUCAGCCUGUUCUCCUCACCCUGCCUCUUCCUCAUCGGUCUUCUCUCACGUGUGAGAGUAAGCCUCGCUUCCGAAUCUUUUUUUAUUCUAUCUUUUUUUACUGCCCCCGGACUUGCGGCUCCUUUCUGACAAAUUCCCAGACGGAAGGCACACGCCUGAAGGAUCGACUACAUAAAUUCACCCGCGGUAAGCCGUCGAAGAGGGCCUAAGAUCUGUGGAUUUAUUCGUUCUCGUUGUAGGACCCUCGAAAUGAGAGAGAGAGAGAGAGAGAGAGAGAAUUUUUUUUCGGCUCUCGCGAUGCUGUAUUCUAAAGAUACAAGAAAGAUACGUGUCUGCAAUGUCACUGUUUUUCUCUCUUGUUUUUUUACAUGUCCUAAAAAUACAUUGCACUCGAUUUGUUGAAUUUCGCGACUCUCUCGCGACGAUCAGCUUUCUCCCUGUUGACCUACAUCUCGCAAUUUAAAUAUUGCAAAAACGAAUAAACAGAUCGUUGCAUUGAUGACAUGAAAUACAACGUGAGACAAGUGCGAAUACACACAAUAUAAGCUAAUUUCCUAAUGUUGAGAUUCCGCUCUAAAGCAAUGAAAUAUAGUUUUAGGAAUAGAAAUUAGUGUGUUUAUGCUAUAUUUUAGUACUUGUCACGAAUAUAUAUACUGUGUAAAGGCCUCUCUUUAUCACUGUGCGCACGGCUUUCUGCAGGACGAAUCGUAAAACUUCGGGUCUAUUCUGCAUCCCAGAUCCUAUGUAAAUCCGCUCGAUGAAUGGACAAAGACUGACAAACAUAUAUAGAAGGCAAAAAAAGAAAAAAAAAGAGAGGAAAAAAGAGAGAAAUUCUCUUUUAUUGCACGAAGCUGACACGCAUCUCGCGUAUGUACAUGUCUAUCUGUUGCGAAUUAAUAACAAAAUAAGAGAAACGCGACGCACGUUGAUAUUUCACCUACAUCUCGCCUAUCCGAAUUUUGCAAGCGCCGAACAAUUCCUGCAACAUAAUCCCGAGGAAAGAUCGAUAUGUGAUAUCGAUGAAACGAGAGCAGCGGCGCUUUUCGAAGACGAUCCGAGAAUCAUUCAACGCGUAGAUACGCGAUGGCACGCGAGAGAGACGAGGGAAUUUUCGCUAACCGAGGGAAGAGCAAAGGAAGCACCCGCGAAUGUAUAUCACAAGCAUCGUUUCCGGCAAGUUGCCGCAAAACCCGACGUUCCAUUUUCGAAAUGUCUCCGCAUUUUCUCUUUACGCGCCCGAGAUAGAAGACGCCCUGGGAAUUUACAGAGAAAAUGAUGAUACGUAUUUCACAGAAAACAUUAAUUGGAAAUUCUUUCAAAGAUGAUAGAACGUACAUUGAGAACGCAAAUUUCGUUAUCGCAACAGUCAAUUCUGUACUUUACAUCAGAAAUAAAUGUGAAAGCAUUGCAAAGCAAAAUAACAAAUUUUCUCAUAACCUGCGUAAAUAGAAAUAGUGAAAAAUGGAUCAUGCGAAAAUAUGAGAUCUGGUUUGCAAUAUUUGUACAUAUCUACGAAGAAUAAUGUAAACAUUUCCCAACAGAUUGUAUCUUAAUAAUAAUGUUAGGAGAAAAAUACAGCAGAAUA